CCUACGGGAGGCAGCAGUGAGGAAUAUUGGUCAAUGGGCUUACGCCUGAACCAGCCAAGUCGCGUGAGGGAAGACUGCCCUAUGGGUUGUAAACCUCUUUUGCCAGGGAGCAACGCGGUCCACGUGUAGUCCGACUGAGAGUACCCGAAGAAAAAGCAUCGGCUAACUCCGUGCCAGCAGCCGCGGUAAUACGGAGGAUGCGAGCGUUAUCCGGAUUUAUUGGGUUUAAAGGGUGCGUAGGCGGAAUGGAAAGUCAGCGGUAAAAUCGCGGGGCUCAACCUCGGUCCGCCGUUGAAACUGGCGGUGUUGAGUGGGCGAGAAGUAUGCGGAAUGCGUGGUGUAGCGGUGAAAUGCAGAGAUAUCACGCAGAACUCCGAUUGCGAAGGCAGCAUACCGGCGCCCAACUGACGCUGAGGCACGAAAGCGUGGGUAUCGAACAGGAUUAGAUACCCGAGUAGUC
RNAcentral lists this ribosomal RNA (460 nucleotides) under uncultured bacterium. RNAcentral describes it as "partial 16S ribosomal RNA". It matches the Rfam family "Bacterial small subunit ribosomal RNA", at positions 338 to 795 of the family's 1533-position model. The record is from RNAcentral.